UACGUAGGGUGCGAGCGUUGCCCGGAUUUAUUGGGCGUAAAGGGCGCGUAGGCGGCCACGCACGUCCGUUGUGAAAUCGCCCGGCUCAACUGGGCGGGGUCGGCGGAUACGGCGUGGCUGGAGCAAGCUAGGGGGCAAUGGAAUUCCCGGUGGAGUGGUGGAAUGCGUAGAUAUCGGGAGGAACACCAGUGGCGAAGGCGGUUGCCUGGAGCUUUGCUGACGCUGAGGCGCGAAAGCGUGGGGAGCGAUCCGG
Molecule: ribosomal RNA, 253 nt
Filed under: uncultured bacterium
Lineage: Bacteria
Description: partial 16S ribosomal RNA
Rfam family: Bacterial small subunit ribosomal RNA
Source: RNAcentral